Molecule: ribosomal RNA, 340 nt
Filed under: Dyella sp.
Lineage: Bacteria; Pseudomonadati; Pseudomonadota; Gammaproteobacteria; Lysobacterales; Rhodanobacteraceae
Description: bacterial SSU rRNA
Source: RNAcentral
CUCAUGGGUGGCGAGUGGCGGACGGGUGAGUAAUGCAUCGGGACCUACCUAGACGUGGGGGAUAACGUAGGGAAACUUACGCUAAUACCGCAUACGUCCUACGGGAGAAAGCAGGGGACCUUCGGGCCUUGCGCGGUUAGACGGACCGAUGUUCGAUUAGCUUGUUGGUGAGGUAAUGGCUCACCAAGGCGACGAUCGAUAGCUGGUCUGAGAGGAUGAUCAGCCACACUGGAACUGAGACACGGUCCAGACUCCUACGGGAGGCAGCAGUGGGGAAUAUUGGACAAUGGGCGCAAGCCUGAUCCAGCAAUGCCSCGUGUGUGAAGAAGGCUUCGGGUUG